Balaenoptera musculus (blue whale) is the source of this 380-nucleotide long non-coding RNA. RefSeq lists it as uncharacterized. The record is from RefSeq and is a predicted model, not a curated record. NCBI's taxonomy places the organism in Eukaryota, Metazoa, Chordata, Mammalia, Artiodactyla, Balaenopteridae. The transcript is spliced from 3 exons.
AUGGUCUCACAACUUGAGGUUUCAAUUAUCCUACACCCACAGCGAACCCAGGCAGCCCAGGAGGGAAAAAAAACGCCUUCCUUGGUUUAUCUUGCUCAUGAACACCCUACACAGAAGCUCGCUGUGUUUUCAGCCACAUCAGUUGUGAGCAGAGGGGCCUUCACACGGGGUGAAGACAAUCAGCUGUGUGGAGGAUUACUGCCACAGGCUUUGGCUCGGCACCGCUAUUUACCAGCCUGCAGGUUAUCUGUGUCUGAUCUGUAGCACAACCUGGAAUACAUUCAGUACCUUGAAGGUGGCAGAUCCAGGUUAAAGAGACAGAAGUCAAAGAAAGGAUGUGAUUUGCAACCCAGAAACAGAGGCAGGAAGUCUGGAAAGUC